Molecule: unclassified non-coding RNA, 315 nt
Filed under: uncultured fungus
Lineage: Eukaryota; Fungi
Description: partial contains 5.8S ribosomal RNA and internal transcribed spacer 2
Rfam family: 5.8S ribosomal RNA (bases 1-133)
Source: RNAcentral
UGGUUCUGGCAUNGAUGAAGAACGCAGCGAAAUGCGAUAAGUAAUGUGAAUUGCAGAAUUCAGUGAAUCAUCGAAUCUUUGAACGCACAUUGCGCCCGCUAGUAUUCUGGCGGGCAUGCCUGUUCGAGCGUCAUUUCAACCCUCAGGCCCCGCCUGGUGUUGGGGUCCUGCAGUCUUGCAGGCCCUGAAAUGCAGUGGCGAGCCUCCUGUGGUCUCGAGCGUAGUAGUCAUACGUCGCUCCGGGUGCUUCAGGGGACCUCCGCCGUGAAACCCUUCUGUAAUGUUGACCUCGGAUCAGGUAGGAAUACCCGCUGA